Long non-coding RNA from Gallus gallus (chicken), 1219 nucleotides. The record is from Ensembl. NCBI's taxonomy places the organism in Eukaryota, Metazoa, Chordata, Aves, Galliformes, Phasianidae.
ACACAUCUAUAGGGGCAGGAUCAGAGGAGGCCAUGGGGAUGAUCACAGGGCUGGAGCACUUCUACUGUGAAGGUAGGCUGAAAAAGCUGAGGUGGUUCAGCCUGGAAAAAAAGAAGGCUCUGGGGAGAACUCACUGCUGCCUUCCACUAUUUAAAUGGAGGUCUACAGGAAAAAUGAGAAGACAUUCUUCAUCAGGGAGCAUAGUGACAGAACAAGGGGUAACAGUUUUACAGUGAAUAAGGGCAGGAUUAGAAAAAGGGUUGACCAUACAUAUUUCACAGCAUUUAACUUGGCAAGGUAUCAAGCUUAUUUCAGCAUCUGACUUUUUUAAAUAACUUGAUUUAACUAUUCUGGAGAACCUAGUUUAAGAAGCCUCUCUUCUUGUAUCAAUAUGUAUACAUAUUCUCAUAUUUGUUGUGUAGUGCUCAGCAGUUUCAAUCAUUAUAAAUAUCUGAAAAAUGGGAAUAUUUUGAUGAUAGUGCAAGACAAUAUUAAGGGAUCAUUAAUUCAUGUAGAUAAGUUUCUAAGUGACAUAAGAUCAAAAGGUCUGUAAUCAAAGCAGUGAUUUGUAUUGAACACUGCAUACUCUUUGUACUGAAAAUGACAUAUCUGUUGCCUAUUUUAGACUAGCUCAUACCUUGAAAGAAGCUACAAUCCCUUACUGAACUAUCAGGGGUGUGAGGGAAACAAGUCAAAGGAGGUAUUAUUGGAUUAUUCGCUCUUCUAGGACAGAACCUGUUUGUAUAAUCAGAGAUAUGCCUUAAGUGGUCUUUAAAGAAAGUCAGAUUUUUGUUUAAAAAAGGGGAAGGAGGAGGCUUCAUUAACUAGACUGACAGGCUCCAUAGAUUUCUCAAGUGUUUAAAUUAAGGAUUGUGAGUUCUUGAAACUUGACAAGGAAAGCAGGAUUGUCACCGCUGGCUGCCUGAACCAGAGUGUUAUAGUCAUUGUCAAAAGACGGGCUGCAGAACCAUAGAAGACAACAUUCUUGCCUUCAGUGUAUCAUCAGAGGAAUCUUGAACAAAAGAGAACAAAAUACUUUUAUGAUAUCUGAACUUCAGAAGACUCAAAGGUCAUGUCCAGCUCACUUAUGCUGCCCAACUCCUUUACCUGCAAGAUACACCUUCUCCUGUUGAGCUAGCUGAUCAGAAAAUUGUGUGGAAAAGAAUUAGAGCAUUUAUUUUUGUCAAGCUGUUUGGUGAAAAUAAAAAGCAUAGCACAG